GGGGCUGGGGCUCAGUGGCAGAGCGCUUGCUUAGCAUGUGUGAGGCGCUAAGUUUGAUCCUUAGUGCCACA
Molecule: transfer RNA, 71 nt
Filed under: Marmota monax (woodchuck)
Lineage: Eukaryota; Metazoa; Chordata; Mammalia; Rodentia; Sciuridae
Description: tRNA.Ala
Source: RNAcentral